Long non-coding RNA from Xenopus tropicalis (tropical clawed frog), 409 nucleotides. RefSeq lists it as uncharacterized. The record is from RefSeq and is a predicted model, not a curated record. The transcript is spliced from 2 exons. Lineage: Eukaryota; Metazoa; Chordata; Amphibia; Anura; Pipidae.
CUUGCGUUGAGAGAGCGGCGCAGCCUCUUGCGCAUGCGCAUAAACCCAACUCCGAAUACUCAGCAUCUCCCUGUAACAGCAUCCUUUUAAUGACUGUCCUGCCUUCAGUGCCAGCCUGAAUCACAUGGUCCCUCUCUCCGUCCACCUCAGUUCUCUCAGAUGCAUGCAGACAAGACAUCACCAGCCCAGGACUGCCGGACUCAGAUUGUCCAAAUGCAACCGGAUUGAGAACUGACCAUUCUGAGGAAAUCUGUUGACUGUGCAUCAAGUCCAUAACGCUAGGUGGACCAUGAGCUUGUGUCUAGGGCACUUAGCAGUGGCGUAACUAUAGAGGAAACCGACCCUGCAGUCGCAGGGGCCUGGACCAUGGGGUCUGCUUCCUCUACAGUUAUAAAACCCCCCCUCCCCA